GGACCAACCCUCUACCCCGGGGGGAGAUCUGGUGCUGUAGGAAUAUUGUCCUUUCUCUCUCUUUCAAACAGUUAGUGUAUAUAUUACUGGUCAUGUGCUGCACAUUGUACAUAUAUUUCCUUGGGCUGGUUACUGGUAUCUAAAUGAAAAUUAUAGUAAUUAUGUCAUAGCUCUUCAUGCAUAGUAGCCGUAUCAGUUGUAGAAGUGUAUUUGAUAUUUCAGAAAAAAAAGAACAAGAAAAAAAACAACCUCUGAAACUUUAAACUGAAGGGUCUACAAAAUGGAGAAUCAGCUGUAACAGGAUUUCCUGGAAAAGCACGAACUGUGUGACUCAGUCCUUGAAUGUCUAUAGAUGUUUACAUGAUUCACUGGUGAGGAAAGAAGGACCUUCAUUUCUCCCCUUACUAAUUUUGGACAAAGUGAGCAUCCCAGCUUUGACUCCUCAUGCAUUCAUCUCAUCCCUGCCUUUCCUGUAAGCUGUCCCUUGAAGUGAAGAAUGUGAUGGGGUGGACCUGCAGUCCCAGAGGCUCUGCUAUGUAUUUGGACAUAUACAUACCAUGACAGCUCCUUUGCAUCAAAUAAUAGGGGAAUCAAGCUUGGAAGUUUUGCUCUUAUGGCCUUCAAAACUUUUCAAGUGAGUACUGGAGGUCUCCUUAUGUGAAAAUAACUAAAAGAUUAUUAAACAGACUGAAAAAUAAAUCCCUUUCCUUCUAUCA
RNAcentral lists this long non-coding RNA (716 nucleotides) under Coturnix japonica (Japanese quail). RNAcentral's name for it is "lncRNA (ENSCJPG00005006926.1)". The record is from RNAcentral. Lineage: Eukaryota; Metazoa; Chordata; Aves; Galliformes; Phasianidae.